This is a long non-coding RNA of Salvelinus sp. IW2-2015, 2303 nucleotides long. RefSeq lists it as uncharacterized. The record is from RefSeq and is a predicted model, not a curated record. NCBI's taxonomy places the organism in Eukaryota, Metazoa, Chordata, Actinopteri, Salmoniformes, Salmonidae.
UACAUAUCAGACCUAGUGCAAAAUUGUAUUGCAUUUAACACACUAACGUUAACUGAUUGAUUGAAUAUAUUAUUGUGUAUUCACAUAAUUAUAGUGAUAUUCAUAUCCAUGCUUUUGCCUGUUUUCACCACGAGUGAACACCAGCGCAGCACCUUUUGCGCAUGCGUUUGUGUACUGUCRCCUGACAAAGMCAGAAAUUUCAGCGAAACUAUUUGGAAAAGUUCACCGCUAUAACUUACUCCUUCCAGAAUCAUCUUGAACGAUAGAAUAUACUUGAUAGAACUUUCCAACAACACGUUCCGUUGGUGGGAUUCAUAUUUUAUUWWAUUUAUUUACSCAUUGUGUUGGUAAAUAAAUAUUGUAUGCUUCUCUUUAGAUCCUCUUUCUCUACGAAAUCAGAUUAUUUAAAAAAUGAUUUGGACCCAUCCAAUAUUUAMUUAUUGAUAAUCAAUAGUAUAGUCAAAGAUGGUUUAGAAAUUCUGUGGUAUAACGUUCAGUGCAGRUCUGAUUUUAUCCACCAGGUGGCUAUAUUGCACCAACAUAAAUUGAAAAGAGGCAGUGCUGAACUGUAAACUUCACGAGUCCCAGUCGAAUUGAUUGACAUAAUAUCAUAAACGGUACAAUGAUAUGUGUUUCUGCUGCUGAUGCAAAUGUUUGUUGAAAAAUGCCCUAACUUGUAUUUUUACACCCCUUCACUAUGUUUCACUCUGAGACUGCUUGCCGAUCUAAUUCCAACCCACUAUGGAUCAGACAUGGAUGUUGAAAUGGGUGUGGAUAUAAAGGAUGUUUUUAUGUUGCAAUAGAAUAGCUCCUAUAACAAUAUCUGAAAGGUUGUAAAAAUCUCGGUGGACACAACAGAAUUCUCCUUUCCACACUCCCUGCACCACCUUUGAUAGAAACACCCCUAGACUGAAAUGUUAAAUCKUUUUAAAGAUUCCUUUUUUUAAGAGGGCAUAAUGUCUUUCAAAUUCAGAGUGAAACGAGGUGACACAUUUUCUCAGGGGUUAUUGGAGGAAUGAUGUGGUGUGCUAAUAUUCACCCAGAGAGACAAAGAAGUCUCUUUGUGCUCAAGGUUGUGAUUUYGCCUCAUUUCCUUCUCUAAUGGAAAUKUCAAACAGCUAAUGCUUACUGUAUGACUAGUAUGGACCCUAAUGCUCUCUCUCUCCCUGUCUGUCUCUGUCUCUGUCCCCCCUCUCUUCUAUAGGCAUAUGAGGUGGAGGACCUGACUGCAACAGACAUCCCCUGACUGCUCUGUGUGUCUAGACACAACACCUACAGUACUGUCUGUCUGUGUCUCUUCCUGUUUGUCACUGAUCUACCACCCUCUUUAUGGARCUGUCUCACCUUCUCUUCMAGUCUUGCUCUUUUUUAAGAGGAAUUGUUCUUUUAAUUACGUUUCAAUUUCAGAGAAACUCAUUAAUAACAAUUAUUUGAGUUUAAUCCAUUCUCCCUGCAGGCUUUCUUAAUGAUCUUUCUAUCUUGAUCCCUAUAUGUCCAUUUGAAUCUCUCUUUCUCCUUUCUGGGAUUUGCAACCCUCUUCAAAGGUCAGAUAUUCCCUAUCUCUACAUGUAGUCAACCUGCAUAAAGCUGUGUUAACCCCAAUUGGCUGUGAGCCAGCCUAUACACACUAACUCGUUUAAUCAGCAGUCAUCUGAUCUGGCCAAUACUCACAGUGUGCCCAAGCAUACUGUGAUAAUUAUCAUAUAAAUUGAUUUUAUGCUAAUGAUAUGAGCUGUUAUAUUCUGAAAUCCAGAGAUAAGUGAAAAUGAGAGGAAGGAACUUGACAGUGAGAGGAUUUGGGAUUUUACUUUAUCUGACUGACACCUCUCUUUACCCUCACCCACUUCUCUGUCCUUUCUUUUUCCCCUUUUCUCUUUCAUGAAGCUGCUGGCUUUGGGAGGAGGGUGCUGGUCCUUGACUUGGUGGCUCCCACCCCUAAAGGCACUAAAUGGGGUCUAGCRGGUUCCAGUGUGAACAUGGGCAGUAUUCCCAGGAAGCUCCUGCACCAAGCCUCUGCUGGGAAAAGCCAUCCAGGAUGCCCUGAAGUACGGCUGGAAGUUUGAGGAACAGGUGUCCCAUGGCUAGGGUGAAAUGGUGGAGGCGGUACAACAACAUGUGAAGUCUGUGAGCUUUGAGCUGAGGAGGGAGCUGAGGGACAGUGAUGUCACCUACCUGAACGCCCAUGGAGAGAUACUGGAGCCACACACUGUACAGGCGACAAGAUYUCAACGGGAGGAGGACCUAUCACACAUCAGAGACACUCGUCAUCGCCACGGGGGACAGGGCACAAUACCUGAACAUAC